Molecule: long non-coding RNA, 986 nt
Organism: Cimex lectularius (bed bug)
Lineage: Eukaryota; Metazoa; Arthropoda; Insecta; Hemiptera; Cimicidae
Exons: 3
Source: RefSeq, a predicted model, not a curated record
UAUUAUAUGAUUGGAUUAUGAUAUGGAUAAAUUCCACGAUGUUUGUUCAUCAAUUCAGUCGUUAAGCUGGAAGAAAUACUAGCAUUGAUUGUGUGGGCGCUUAGGAAGGAGAGAUUCAAAAAAAUUCUAGACCGAUAAACCAAUAAAAUAUUGUCGUUCGAUGUCCACGUUCUCAUAAAGCGUUCCCGGAAAUCUCGUCGGCAUUUAAAGCAAAAUAAUCGUUUCUGCUUAGCGCUAUCGGAUCAGUUCGGAUACGGAUCUUGGAUUGCUCGGCCAUCAGAGUUGAGUCAUAAAACGCGGUUGUGUUCGAUUUGCCAAUACGCUGAUCGCGUGAUUACCGUUAUCAGCGUUUUUCCUCUCUCUUCUCUAUCCCGAACUAUUCAACACGUGAGUAAUAUCACGUCGUUUUUACACCCGAAGGCUCUGGUACACACGUCGCGACGCAGUAUAUCGCCCCAAACUUGUCAACAGUUCAGGGAGACCUGUGGCCUGACGGUCCUUGAGAGGGGCGCUGAGCCGGUCGGGGCAUUGUUGUCCCGGGGCCUUGAAGUCUUCCAUAGCCCAUAGCCCACCGGUAGAACCGUCCAAUUUUCUUGCUCCAUGAACAAGAAACUAGAGACAACUCACUUGUGUGUGAAAAACAACGAUGUUCUCAAACUGACAGAAUCUGCUAAGUGGGAAACAUCUGCAUGAAACUUCACCAAUCCUUAAGUCGAAAAAGCAGAAGAGAAAGGCCGAAGUAUCGAAAAACUGAAACUAAAGUUUUGCAUUGUCACGGAUGAACAGUAAUGCACUUGUAUGCCCUUGGUAUGUGAAACAUGAGGGUUUUUCAGAAAUCUCAGUUUGGAAUUUUAACGGUACACUCAUUGAUCGUGGGUCUGGCAAUAUUUCAAGCGUGUUUCACUUAAAACUUAUAAGCCACUAUAGUAUGAAAAAGGUUUGCAAUUGUUAUAGUUUAAAGGUAUUGACGUCAAGUAAAUAACAAA